UCAUUAAUGAAACGAACGUCGAGAAGGGUUGUAGCUGGCCUUUUGGGGCAUGUGCACGCCUUGAUCGCAUGUCUACCUCUCACACCUGUGCACUAUGUGUAGCUUGGGGAUGAUCACGACGUUAGAAAUGAUGUCGAAAGCUCUAGCUAUGAUUUUUUUUAUAAACCCACGUAUGUUACAGAACGGAUGAUGUUAUAGUGCGUAACAGCACGAAUAUAUACAACUUUCAGCAACGGAUCUCUUGGCUCUCGCAUCGAUGAAGAACGCAGCGAAAUGCGAUAAGUAAUGUGAAUUGCAGAAUUCAGUGAAUCAUCGAAUCUUUGAACGCACCUUGCGCUCCUUGGUAUUCCGAGGAGCAUGCCUGUUUGAGUGUCAUGAAAUUCUCAACUGCCUUCUUAGCAUUUAUGUUGAGGGGGUGAAGUUGGAGUUGGAGGAUAACUGCUGGCGCAACUCAGGUUGCUUGUUGGCUCCUCUUAAAUGGAUGAGCUUUUCUGAUGGAUCAUGGCUCGGUAACACUAAUGUGAUAACUGUCUACGUUAGAUGUGAACGCCAUGAGCAGAGCGACUUUGAAGCUCCUACGGAAAAGGACGUUUUUUGACUUGUAACAAAUCUGACCUC
This 618-nucleotide ribosomal RNA is filed under the name uncultured fungus from ectomycorrhizal root. RNAcentral describes it as "eukaryotic LSU rRNA". The stretch from base 222 to 375 matches the Rfam family "5.8S ribosomal RNA". Lineage: Eukaryota; Fungi. The record is from RNAcentral.